AAUAUUGCACAAUGGGCGAAAGCCUGAUGCAGCAACGCCGCGUGAGUGAUGAAGGCCUUCGGGUCGCAAAGAUCUUUGAUCAUGGAAGAUAAUGACAGUACCUGAAAAACAAGCCACGGCUCACCACGAUCCAGCAGCCGCGGUAAUACGUAGGUGGCGAGCGUUGUCCUGAAUUACUGGGCGUAAACUAUGCGUAGGUGGAUACUUAAGUGGGAUGUGAAAUCCCCGGGCUCAACCCGGGAACUGCAUUCCAAACUGGGUAUCUAGAGUGCAGGAGAGGAAAGCGGAAUUCCUAGUGUAGCGGUGAAAUGCGUAGAUAUUAGGAGGAACACCAGUGGCGAAGGCGGCUUUCUGGACUGUAACUGACACUGAGGCAUGAAAGCGUGGGUAGCAAACAGG
This 399-nucleotide ribosomal RNA is filed under the name uncultured bacterium. RNAcentral's name for it is "partial 16S ribosomal RNA". It matches the Rfam family "Bacterial small subunit ribosomal RNA", at positions 360 to 776 of the family's 1533-position model. The record is from RNAcentral.